Molecule: long non-coding RNA, 513 nt
Organism: Oncorhynchus gorbuscha (pink salmon)
Lineage: Eukaryota; Metazoa; Chordata; Actinopteri; Salmoniformes; Salmonidae
Exons: 3
Source: RefSeq, a predicted model, not a curated record
CAGUUUCUUCUCUGGUCCUCAGGGAGAGUUAUCCUUUGAACAGGACAGUCUGGUUGAUGGGUGCCGUGAGGUGCGUCAGUUCCGCUCGGACCUCCACCUGGUGAGGUUCUACUUCCUGACGCGUCUCUACUCGGCCUACAAUGAAGAACAUCCGAGCUGACUUCCGCACCGGCCUCAAACCUGACUUCCUGAUUUGUCUACUCCUGUAUCUGGGACGUCUCCAGCCUAUCUUCCGAAGGAGCAUCUUCCAGAGUAAACAUCAGCAGAAGACGGGGGAGGGGGAACCCUUUAGGGCAAUCAGAGCCUUACAAGGGUGUCGCUGAAAAGCCCAACACCCUUCCUAACAAGGCCUCGUUCCGACAGAGAAACGGCGAGCGAAGUUCACGGCAGGAACAUGAGGCCGCCUCAGGACGAUGUCACGUUUCAUCACAACCAGCGUUCUGAGCCCUCUCCUGUACUCCCUGUUCACCCACGACUGCGUGGCCACGCACGCCUCCAACUCAAUCAUCAAGU